This 329-nucleotide unclassified non-coding RNA is filed under the name soil metagenome. Its description in RNAcentral is "partial contains 5.8S ribosomal RNA, internal transcribed spacer 2, and large subunit ribosomal RNA". The stretch from base 1 to 120 matches the Rfam family "5.8S ribosomal RNA", at positions 35 to 154 of the family's 154-position model. The record is from RNAcentral.
GAUGAAGAACGUAGCGAAAUGCGAUAAGUAAUGUGAAUUGCAGAAUUCAGUGAAUCAUCGAAUCUUUGAUCGCACAUUGCGCCCCUUGGUAUUCCGAGGGGCAUGCCUGUUCGAGCGUCAUUAUAACCCCUCAAGCUCAGCUUGGUGUUGGGGCCUGCUGCACUGGCAGCCCUUAAAAUCAGUGGCGGCGCCAUCUGGCUCUAAGCGUAGUAAUUCUUCUCGCUAUGGAGUCCUGGUGGAUGCUUGCCAUCAACCCCCAAUUUUUCUAUGGUUGACCUCGGAUCAGGUAGGGAUACCCGCUGAACUUAAGCAUAUCAAUAAGCGGAGGA